This 455-nucleotide ribosomal RNA is filed under the name uncultured bacterium. Its description in RNAcentral is "partial 16S ribosomal RNA". It matches the Rfam family "Bacterial small subunit ribosomal RNA", at positions 355 to 826 of the family's 1533-position model. The record is from RNAcentral.
UGGGGAAUAUUGCACAAUGGGCGAAAGCCUGAUGCAGCAACGCCGCGUGAGUGAUGAAGGUCUUCGGAUUGUAAAGCUCUGUCUUUUGGGACGAUAAUGACGGUACCAAAGGAGGAAGCCACGGCUAACUACGUGCCAGCAGCCGCGGUAAUACGUAGGUGGCGAGCGUUGUCCGGAUUUACUGGGCGUAAAGGGUGCGUAGGCGGAUGUUUAAGUGAGAUGUGAAAUACCCGGGCUUAACUUGGGUGCUGCAUUUCAAACUGGAUAUCUAGAGUGCAGGAGAGGAGAAUGGAAUUCCUAGUGUAGCGGUGAAAUGCGUAGAGAUUAGGAAGAACACCAGUGGCGAAGGCGAUUCUCUGGACUGUAACUGACGCUGAGGCACGAAAGCGUGGGUAGCAAACAGGAUUAGAUACCCUGGUAGUCCACGCCGUAAAACGAUGAGUACUAGGUGUAGG